This 483-nucleotide ribosomal RNA is filed under the name uncultured bacterium. RNAcentral describes it as "bacterial SSU rRNA". It matches the Rfam family "Bacterial small subunit ribosomal RNA", at positions 26 to 507 of the family's 1533-position model. The record is from RNAcentral.
AGGACGAACGCUGGCGGCGUGCUUAAUACAUGCAAGUCAACUUGACUUUAGAUAGCAAUAUCGAAAAGUAGGGUGGCGCACGGGUGCGUAACGCGUAGGUAAUCUGCCCUGAGGUCUGACAUAACCCGUCGAAAGGCGGGCUAACAUCAGAUGAUAUAUAAUCACGACAUCGUGGAAAUAUCAAAUCUUCGGAGCCUUGGGAUGAGCCUGCGUCUGAUUAGGUAGUUGGCGGAGUAAUAGCCCACCAAGCCUACGAUCAGUAGCUGGUCUGAGAGGAUGAUCAGCCACACUGGAACUGAGACACGGUCCAGACUCCUACGGGAGGCAGCAGUAAGGAAUAUUGCUCAAUGGGGGGAAACCCUGAAGCAGCAACGCCGCGUGAAGGAUGAAAUACUUUUGUAUGUAAACUUCUGUAAGAUGGGAAAAAUAUUCUCCUCGGGAGAAUUGAUUGUACCAUCAGAGUAAGCCCCGGCUAACUACGUG